This 465-nucleotide ribosomal RNA is filed under the name Vreelandella stevensii. Its description in RNAcentral is "partial 16S ribosomal RNA". It matches the Rfam family "Bacterial small subunit ribosomal RNA", at positions 338 to 795 of the family's 1533-position model. Lineage: Bacteria; Pseudomonadati; Pseudomonadota; Gammaproteobacteria; Oceanospirillales; Halomonadaceae. The record is from RNAcentral.
CCUACGGGCGGCUGCAGUGGGGAAUAUUGGACAAUGGGCGAAAGCCUGAUCCAGCCAUGUCGCGUGUGUGAAGAAGGCCUUCGGGUUGUAAAGCACUUUCAGUGGGGAAGAAAGCCUUGGGGCUAAUACCCUCGAGGAAGGACAUCACCCACAGAAGAAGCACCGGCUAACUCCGUGCCAGCAGCCGCGGUAAUACGGAGGGUGCGAGCGUUAAUCGGAAUUACUGGGCGUAAAGCGCGCGUAGGCGGUCUGAUAAGCCGGUUGUGAAAGCCCCGGGCUCAACCUGGGAACGGCAUCCGGAACUGUCAGGCUAGAGUGCAGGAGAGGAAGGUAGAAUUCCCGGUGUAGCGGUGAAAUGCGUAGAGAUCGGGAGGAAUACCAGUGGCGAAGGCGGCCUUCUGGACUGACACUGACGCUGAGGUGCGAAAGCGUGGGUAGCAAACAGGAUUAGAUACCCGAGUAGUC